CAAUGCAGUUUACAGCCUGAGCACACCCCGUCUUGUCCGAUCUUGAAAGCUACGUAGGGAUUGGCCUGGUUAGUAUUUGGAUGGGAGAAUACCAGGUGCAAUAUGUGGUGGCUGUAGAGC
This 120-nucleotide ribosomal RNA is filed under the name Amphilophus citrinellus (Midas cichlid). Lineage: Eukaryota; Metazoa; Chordata; Actinopteri; Cichliformes; Cichlidae. The record is from RNAcentral.